Paramacrobiotus metropolitanus is the source of this 381-nucleotide long non-coding RNA. RefSeq lists it as uncharacterized. Lineage: Eukaryota; Metazoa; Tardigrada; Eutardigrada; Parachela; Macrobiotidae. The record is from RefSeq and is a predicted model, not a curated record. The transcript has 3 exons.
CAAGAUGAUACCCCCACCGACUCAGCUAGCCAAGAAGUGUGUAGUAACGAAGCACGCUGGACUCCCGACGUGGAGAAUGCUUUCCGGGAGGCAGCAAAAUCUCACCCACCGGAAAAAGACUAUUCUACGGAUAUGAACAACGACGAUUCGAUAAAAAGCCGGAACCAGCUGAUUGCCAGUUAUAUAUGCGAACAAACCGGACUCAACAUCACUCCGGAACAAGUGGCUCGUCGCGAAACAUUAGCUCGCCUUGAAAAGGAAUUGAGAUGGCCGAUAGUAUUCCAACGCGUCGAAGCGGAACUAUCUAAAAGGUUAACUGCUUCUCUUCCAACCACUGCGGCAGCAAGCCAGACGGUGAUAGUGGCGCCAUCAACCAACGCC